UACAGAGGGUGCGAGCGUUGUUCGGAAUUACUGGGCGUAAAGCGCGCGCAGGCGGCUUUUUAAGUCUGACGGUGAAAUGCCGGGGCUCAACCCCGUGCCCGCCGCGGAUACUGGGAAGCUGGAGACGAGUAGAGGCAAGCGGAAUUCCGGGUGUAGCGGUGGAAUGCGUAGAGAUCCGGAAGAACACCGGAGGCGAAGGCGGCUUGCUGGGCUCGGUCUGACGCUGAGGCGCGAAAGCGUGGGGAGCGAACAGG
RNAcentral lists this ribosomal RNA (254 nucleotides) under uncultured bacterium. RNAcentral's name for it is "partial 16S ribosomal RNA". It matches the Rfam family "Bacterial small subunit ribosomal RNA", at positions 524 to 776 of the family's 1533-position model. The record is from RNAcentral.